CUGCGAGGACAGUGGGCGGCCUUUUGUUGGGGCCCUGGUUCACGGGAAGUUUGAGGUCAAUCAGGAUUAAAAUGUUUUAGGGAACAAAUGAAGUAAUUUGAGCACAAUAUAAGGAGCGCUCUGCCGGCAUUUACUCGGGAUCCAGGGUCAUGGGCAUGCUGGAGCCUGUUCCAGCUAUCUUGGGGAGGAAGCCAGGGCGCAUGCAGGUGCAAGCAAUGAAGAGGUGGACAGUGACAGCAAUGCGCCGCUGCACUUUGCUCGGGAGGCACGGCCUGAUCCGAUGGAGCCGAUGGAUCCUCCUCUUUGGGGAGGCACGCGGUGUCUGAGGGUAGAGACAGGUCCAUUGUGCGCUUGCACGAGGGAGGUCCGGUUCUGCACAGUGUUCUCACCGCUCUGACCUCAUCAGCUGAUAAAACAAAUUGGGUGCAAGUGAAGUAGCUGACGUGUUUUUGAUUAAGAGGUGGGUGACUUCGUUGGGUGUACUCAUUUGUGACUCAUUUGUGUAACCUUGCACUUCAGUAAAAUGACAACAGCAUAGAUUGAGAGUUAUACUUUAUGAUGCUAAUCAUGUUUUAUUUCUUAAUAAGGUGAUACCUAAAGGAUAAACCACUGACUAAAAAUGUAAUAAUGUUGUACUCUCGAUCAGUGAGGCGAGCCUUUUUUUUUUUUCAGUGCCGGUCUGUGGCGCAGUGGUUGGGGACCAUUGUUCUAAGAUGCCGGGGAUGCCAUCUGAAUGAAAAAUCGCGCGGUGUUCUGUAUAAGACCCAUUCAACAGUACAUUUCGACGUCAAAAUGGAAUUAAAAGCUUCUAGUUUUCCCCUCCAAAAAUAAAAACUUGCUGCGCCAGUCGACACUGC
Syngnathoides biaculeatus (alligator pipefish) is the source of this 857-nucleotide long non-coding RNA. RefSeq lists it as uncharacterized. The record is from RefSeq and is a predicted model, not a curated record. NCBI's taxonomy places the organism in Eukaryota, Metazoa, Chordata, Actinopteri, Syngnathiformes, Syngnathidae. The transcript is spliced from 3 exons.